AGUGAACGCUGGCGGUAGGCCUAACACAUGCAAGUCGAACGGCAGCACAGUAAGAGCUUGCUCUUACGGGUGGCGAGUGGCGGACGGGUGAGGAAUACAUCGGAAUCUACUUUUUCGUGGGGGAUAACGUAGGGAAACUUACGCUAAUACCGCAUACGACCUACGGGUGAAAGCAGGGGAUCUUCGGACCUUGCGCGAUUGAAUGAGCCGAUGUCGGAUUAGCUAGUUGGCGGGGUAAAGGCCCACCAAGGCGACGAUCCGUAGCUGGUCUGAGAGGAUGAUCAGCCACACGGGAACUGAGACACGGUCCAGACUCCGACGGGAGGCAGCAGUGGGGAAUAUUGGACAAUGGCGCAAGCCUGAUCCAGCCAUACCGCGUGGGUGAAGAAGGCCUUCGGGUUGUAAAGCCCUUUUGUUGGGAAAGAAAAGCAGCAGGUUAAUACCCCGCUGUUCUGACGGUACCCAAAGAAUAAGCACCGGCUAACUUCGUG
RNAcentral lists this ribosomal RNA (491 nucleotides) under uncultured bacterium. RNAcentral's name for it is "partial 16S ribosomal RNA". It matches the Rfam family "Bacterial small subunit ribosomal RNA", at positions 29 to 507 of the family's 1533-position model. The record is from RNAcentral.